GAUCUCGAGACCGAAAUUACGAUUAUCGUUAUUUCUAAAUUGGCACCAAAUUUAUGGAUAUAGUAAUUUCGUGGCACUCUUUACCAAUGCUCUUUACACGUGUUAAAUAAAGAGAAGGACUCGGUUCCACUGUCUUACAACAUUCAAGAUGGCGGAGGAAAGGGGUAAAUGUGCGUUCAGUUGUGAUCAGCAUGAUCUCGACACCAAAAUAACGAUUAUCGUUAUUUCUAAAUUGGCCCUGAAAUAACGAAUAUCAUAAUUUCAGUGCAUGUCUGAGACCUUCGGGCUCGAAGCUUGGGAACUAGUAUUCAGGGAAAGAUAAAAUGGCGGCUUACGGCGGCGAAGGAAAUCUCAGUAGUUUAAUAUUUUAGCGUGAAAAGGCUUGGGUGUUGUGAUCUGGUUCUCAAGUGAAAAAAAAAAAUCACGGUCUGCAAUGGCCCUACCACCUUUUGAACAACAAGAAAACAUUGAAACGGUGGUAAAAAGCAGCAAGUUUCGAAGUCUAAACGAAAGAUGGGUGGUCAUUAUCCAUUACUUUUGGAAGUCGAUGCUGAUGAGAAAGAAAAUGUUUAUGAUUAUUUCUUCUCUCGAACAUUUUACUCUUUAGGUACCAAAUAAUCUUGAUACUGAAGAUCAUUGCAUCCAUUAUGAAAAAAUUACCCUUGAUUGCUUUGUCAACUGGAAUGUAUAAUGUAAUAUACCUUGUGAUUUGUGGGAUUUUCACAAGUAAACUAGAAAUACUUGAAGAGAGUAAUGAUGUACUUAAUGCAGAGCAUUUGGUACAAAGUCUGCUUUGCUGUAAUCUACCUGAAGGUGCUUUUUAUAUGCUAGUAAGACUUGCACAGCCCAGUCAAAAUGUUUUUGAGUAGUAGAAAAGCUGGCCAAACCUCUUCCUGAAAAGCAGUCUGAAAAAUUUGAAGUUAGCGGAAGGUACUUCAUUGUAGGCGGCCAAAUUGUAAGCUGCCAGCCCAUUUUGAGUGAGCAGUAAAACUCAAGAUUGGCUAUUUUAGCUAAUUUUAUUGAGAACCAAAUUCCCAGCAACGGGCACAAUUUUACUGGGCUAUUUGUUAUUUAACUACUUAGUAAUAUUCUUAUUAAAAUUUACUGCAUUCCUUUCUAAUAAUUUGCUGCUGAUUGUAUGCUGUAUAUAGCUUAUGAUUUGUGUGAUUUUCACAAGUAAAUUAGAAAUACCUGAAGAUAGUAAUGAUGUACUAGAUAAUGUACUUGAUGCAAAGCUAUUUUGGUGCAAAGUGUGUGCCUUGUCCGUAGGUGAUUUUGCAUGCUAAUAAGACUUGUAAUUCAAAUAAUACACAUCAGCUGGAGUGGGAAUAUUAAAAGAAAAAUAAUAAUAUUUAGCUAUACCAAGUUCUGGUUUUAUGUCCAAAGUGUGUGCCUUGUCCGUAGGUGAUUUUGCAUGCUAAUAAGACUUGUAAUUCAAAUAAUACACAUCAGCUGGAGUGGGAAUAUUAAAAGAAAAAUAAUAAUAUUUA
Molecule: non-coding RNA, 1490 nt
Organism: Pocillopora verrucosa
Lineage: Eukaryota; Metazoa; Cnidaria; Anthozoa; Scleractinia; Pocilloporidae
Source: RefSeq, a predicted model, not a curated record